CCUCUGGCGAUGAAGGUCGUAACUGACCUUCGGGAGAGACUCAGGACAUAUAAGCUAUAAUGGGUAGGCCUGUUCUGGGGUUUGAUCGAUGCCAAUCAGGAUUACCUUUCUUCCUUUGGGAAGGAAGGCGCCUGGUACCCUUUACCAUAUACCAUGAAUUCAGAAUUGAAAGUAUAAUAUAAUAACAACUUUUAACAAUGGAUCUCUUGGUUCUCGCAUC
RNAcentral lists this unclassified non-coding RNA (220 nucleotides) under Rhizopus microsporus. Its description in RNAcentral is "sequence contains ITS1". The record is from RNAcentral. Lineage: Eukaryota; Fungi; Mucoromycota; Mucoromycetes; Mucorales; Rhizopodaceae.